Molecule: unclassified non-coding RNA, 312 nt
Filed under: Hevea brasiliensis (rubber tree)
Lineage: Eukaryota; Viridiplantae; Streptophyta; Magnoliopsida; Malpighiales; Euphorbiaceae
Source: RNAcentral
CCCCCCCCCCCCCCCUACCUGCCCCAUCCUUCUCCCUUCCCCCAGCUGAAAGAGUCGUUUUGUUUUGUAUAAGAAAAGAAUUUGUGUAUCUGUCUUUAUUGUAUUGCAUGGUCAUUUUCUCUGUUUGUUAGUUAUUAUUUCAAUGGCUGAUAUAAGAUAGUUCGUUCUUAUGAUAGUUUGUUUGCACCCUAAGAUAGUUCGUUCUUAUGACUAAGGGAUGAUGGUUUUGCUAUCUUGGCAAUGGCAAAACAGGUUGGUUACUAUUUUGCGCCAAGUGGCAAGCCUUACCCUGAUAAUUGGAUCAUAACAGAU